AUCCAGCUGACUCGUCCCAAAUAAGACGGAACGCGCGUCAAACUGGAU
Molecule: non-coding RNA, 48 nt
Organism: Schistosoma rodhaini
Lineage: Eukaryota; Metazoa; Platyhelminthes; Trematoda; Strigeidida; Schistosomatidae
Source: Rfam